UACAGCGACCAUAUCACGUUGGAAACACCGGUUCUCGUCCGAUCACCGAAGUUAAGCAACGUCGGGCCCCGUUGGUACCUGCAUGAGUGACCGACUGGGAAUACCGGGUGUUCCGGAC
RNAcentral lists this ribosomal RNA (118 nucleotides) under Echinostoma caproni. Lineage: Eukaryota; Metazoa; Platyhelminthes; Trematoda; Plagiorchiida; Echinostomatidae. The record is from RNAcentral.